GUACCUGCGGACCAACACAAGAAGAAGAACACGGUUAUGCUCCUCUAAGGUUAAUCUGAUCCUUCUCAAAAUGUCUCAGCAGAGAGUCGCUCCUGCCUGAAUGCCAAACUCGAGGAGACCUUGCUCUUGAAAAGUGACAAACCUUACAUCACUCCCUGCAUGGUCAGCCUAUCUGCACCGGUAGUGACCUCAUCGGACGGACACGGCUCCACCACCACCACCGCAUACUCUCAAAGCAACAUUGUCCGAGUAUCUGCCUUGUCGACGUCACGCUUAUUCGAUCGGCUAACUGGUGCUGAGGAGAGGGACCACUGAGCAUGAACCUGCCAUACUCUAGAGCAGGGGUGUCAAACUCAAUUGCACAGGGGGCCAAAAUUCAAAACACACUUCAGGUCGCGGGCUGAACAGAAUAAACAUUUAUUG
Molecule: non-coding RNA, 423 nt
Organism: Gasterosteus aculeatus aculeatus (three-spined stickleback)
Lineage: Eukaryota; Metazoa; Chordata; Actinopteri; Perciformes; Gasterosteidae
Source: RefSeq, a predicted model, not a curated record